RNAcentral lists this ribosomal RNA (497 nucleotides) under uncultured bacterium. RNAcentral's name for it is "partial 16S ribosomal RNA". It matches the Rfam family "Bacterial small subunit ribosomal RNA", at positions 28 to 507 of the family's 1533-position model. The record is from RNAcentral.
GAUGAACGCUGGCGGCGUGCCUAAUACAUGCAAGUCGAGCGAACAGACGAGGAGCUUGCUCCUCUGACGUUAGCGGCGGACGGGUGAGUAACACGUGGAUAACCUACCUAUAAGACUGGGAUAACUUCGGGAAACCGGAGCUAAUACCGGAUAAUAUAUUGAACCGCAUGGUUCAAUAGUGAAAGACGGUUUUGCUGUCACUUAUAGAUGGAUCCGCGCCGCAUUAGCUAGUUGGUAAGGUAACGGCUUACCAUGGCAACGAUGCGUAGCCGACCUGAGAGGGUGAUCGGCCGCACUGGAACUGAGACACGGUCCAGACUCCUACGGGAGGCAGCAGUAGGGAAUCUUCCGCAAUGGGCGAAAGCUUGACGGAGCAACGCCGCGUGAGUGAUGAAGGUCUUCGGAUCGUAAAACUCUGUUAUUAGGGAAGAACAAAUGUGUAAGUAACUAUGCACGUCUUGACGGUACCUAAUCAGAAAGCCACGGCUAACUACGUG